AGUGAACGCUGGCGGUAGGCCUAACACAUGCAAGUCGAACGGCAGCACAGUAAGAGCUUGCUCUUACGGGUGGCGAGUGGCGGACGGGUGAGGAAUACAUCGGAAUCUACUUUUUCGUGGGGGAUAACGUAGGGAAACUUACGCUAAUACCGCAUACGACCUACGGGUGAAAGCAGGGGAUCUUCGGACCUUGCGCGAUUGAAUGAGCCGAUGUCGGAUUAGCUAGUUGGCGGGGUAAAGGCCCACCAAGGCGACGAUCCGUAGCUGGUCUGAGAGGAUGAUCAGCCACAAUGGAACUGAGAAAAGGGCCAGACGCCUAAGGGAGGCAGCAGUGGGGAAUAUUGGACAAUGGGCGCAAGCCUGAUCCAGCCAUACCGCGUGGGUGAAGAAGGCCUUCGGGUUGUAAAGCCCUUUUGUUGGGAAAGAAAAGCAGCAGGUUAAUACCCCGCUGUUCUGACGGUACCCAAAGAAUAAGCACCGGCUAACUUCGUG
Molecule: ribosomal RNA, 492 nt
Filed under: uncultured bacterium
Lineage: Bacteria
Description: partial 16S ribosomal RNA
Rfam family: Bacterial small subunit ribosomal RNA
Source: RNAcentral